RNAcentral lists this ribosomal RNA (238 nucleotides) under uncultured Sphingobacteriales bacterium. RNAcentral's name for it is "partial 16S ribosomal RNA". It matches the Rfam family "Bacterial small subunit ribosomal RNA", at positions 1146 to 1382 of the family's 1533-position model. The record is from RNAcentral. Lineage: Bacteria; Pseudomonadati; Bacteroidota; Sphingobacteriia; Sphingobacteriales.
AAACUGCCUACGCAAGUAGUGAGGAAGGUCGGGGAUGACGUCAAAUCAGCACGGCCCUUACGUCCAGGGCUACACACGUGCUACAAUGGCCGAUACAGAGGGCAGCUACCUGGUGACAGGAUGCAAAUCUCCAAAGUCGGUCUCAGUUCGGAUCGGAGUCUGCAACCCGACUCCGUGAAGUUGGAUUCGCUAGUAAUCGCGCAUCAGCCAUGGCGCGGUGAAUACGUUCCCGGGCCUU